RNAcentral lists this ribosomal RNA (549 nucleotides) under uncultured bacterium. RNAcentral's name for it is "bacterial SSU rRNA". It matches the Rfam family "Bacterial small subunit ribosomal RNA", at positions 355 to 896 of the family's 1533-position model. The record is from RNAcentral.
UAGGGAAUCUUCGGCAAUGGACGGAAGUCUGACCGAGCAACGCCGCGUGAGUGAAGAAGGUUUUCGGAUCGUAAAGCUCUGUUGUAAGAGAAGAACGAGUGUGAGAGUGGAAAGUUCACACUGUGACGGUAUCUUACCAGAAAGGGACGGCUAACUACGUGCCAGCAGCCGCGGUAAUACGUAGGUCCCGAGCGUUAUCCGGAUUUAUUGGGCGUAAAGCGAGCGCAGGCGGUUAGAUAAGUCUGAAGUUAAAGGCUGUGGCUUAACCAUAGUACGCUUUGGAAACUGUUUAACUUGAGUGCAAGAGGGGAGAGUGGAAUUCCAUGUGUAGCGGUGAAAUGCGUAGAUAUAUGGAGGAACACCGGUGGCGAAAGCGGCUCUCUGGCUUGUAACUGACGCUGAGGCUCGAAAGCGUGGGGAGCAAACAGGAUUAGAUACCCUGGUAGUCCACGCCGUAACGAUGAGUGCUAGGUGUUAGACCCUUUCCGGGGUUUAGUGCCGUAGCUAACGCAUUAAGCACUCCGCCUGGGGAGUACGACCGCAAGGUUG